Drosophila subobscura is the source of this 294-nucleotide long non-coding RNA. RefSeq lists it as uncharacterized. The record is from RefSeq and is a predicted model, not a curated record. NCBI's taxonomy places the organism in Eukaryota, Metazoa, Arthropoda, Insecta, Diptera, Drosophilidae. The transcript has 2 exons.
UCAUUCCAACAAUUCUAAGGGGCUUGGCCACCAAUUUGGUAAUUUGUCCAACACGUUGCAGAAACACGUUGCACGUUCGUACUACUGGAGAAUACUUGCAUGCGAUGCCCAAUACGAAGGCGAUGUCGGCGGCGGCUUUUAAAAGGCCACAAAAACUACAGAAAACAUCGCGCCUAAUUGCAAUAAUUCAUUGCGAAGCAGCGAAUGCGAAAUAAAUACAGGGAAACACACAGCACACAAAAAUAAAGGCGAAAGCCAUAAAAAAGGCCAAUAAAAACGGUUAACAAAAGACAA